This 1386-nucleotide ribosomal RNA is filed under the name uncultured bacterium. RNAcentral's name for it is "bacterial SSU rRNA". It matches the Rfam family "Bacterial small subunit ribosomal RNA". The record is from RNAcentral.
AGAGUUUGAUCCUGGCUCAGGAUGAACGCUGGCGGCGUGCCUAACACAUGCAAGUCGAGCGAGAAGCUCAUGAUGGAUUCUUCGGAUGACAGAUUGAGCGGAAAGCGGCGGACGGGUGAGUAACGCGUAGGCAACCUGCCCUUCACAGAGGGAUAGCCUCGGGAAACCGGGAUUAAAACCUCAUAAUGCCGAGACAAGACAUCUUGAUACGGCCAAAGAUUUAUCGGUGAAGGAUGGGCCUGCGUCUGAUUAGUUAGUUGGUGGGGUAACGGCCUACCAAGGCGACGAUCAGUAGCCGACCUGAGAGGGUGAUCGGCCACAUUGGAACUGAGACACGGUCCAAACUCCUACGGGAGGCAGCAGUGGGGAAUAUUGCACAAUGGGGGAAACCCUGAUGCAGCAACACCGCGUGAAGGAAGAAGGCCUUCGGGUCGUAAACUUCUGUCCUUGGGGAAGAAACAAAUGACGGUACCCUUGGAGGAAGCCCCGGCUAACUACGUGCCAGCAGCCGCGGUAAUACGUAGGGGGCAAGCGUUAUCCGGAAUUAUUGGGCGUAAAGAGUACGUAGGCGGUUCUUUAAGCGCAGGGUUUAAGGCAAUGGCUCAACCAUUGUUCGCCCUGUGAACUGGAGGACUUGAGUAUCGGAGAGGAAAGCGGAAUUCCUAGUGUAGCGGUGAAAUGCGUAGAUAUUAGGAGGAACACCAGUGGCGAAGGCGGCUUUCUGGACGAAUACUGACGCUGAGGUACGAAAGCGUGGGGAGCAAACAGGAUUAGAUACCCUGGUAGUCCACGCCGUAAACGAUGAGCACUAGGUGUCGGGGCCGCAAGGUUUCGGUGCCGCAGUUAACGCAUUAAGUGCUCCGCCUGGGGAGUACGCACGCAAGUGUGAAACUCAAAGGAAUUGACGGGGACCCGCACAAGCAGCGGAGCAUGUGGUUUAAUUCGAAGCAACGCGAAGAACCUUACCAGGGCUUGACAUCCUUCUGACCGGAACUUAACCGUUCCUUUCUUCAGACAGAAGUGACAGGUGGUGCAUGGUUGUCGUCAGCUCGUGUCGUGAGAUGUUGGGUUAAGUCCCGCAACGAGCGCAACCCUUGUCGUUAGUUACUAACAUUCAGUUGAGGACUCUAAUGAGACUGCCGUGGAUAACACGGAGGAAGGUGGGGAUGACGUCAAAUCAUCAUGCCCCUUAUGUCCUGGGCUACACACGUGCUACAAUGGUCGGUACAAAGAGACGCGAGACAGUGAUGUGGAGCAAAUCUCAAAAGCCGAUCCCAGUUCGGAUUGCAGGCUGCAACUCGCCUGCAUGAAGUCGGAGUUGCUAGUAAUCGUGGAUCAGAAUGCCACGGUGAAUGCGUUCCCGGGUCUUGCACACACCGCCCGUCA